This 447-nucleotide ribosomal RNA is filed under the name Balanus sp. 2 MPL-2014. Its description in RNAcentral is "partial 16S ribosomal RNA". It matches the Rfam family "Bacterial large subunit ribosomal RNA", at positions 1967 to 2625 of the family's 2925-position model. Lineage: Eukaryota; Metazoa; Arthropoda; Thecostraca; Balanomorpha; Balanidae. The record is from RNAcentral.
AUUAGUCUUUUAAUUGAAGACUGGUAUGAAUGGCUAAACGAGAAAUUAGCUUUUUUUGUUAAUUAAAUUGAAUUUAAUUUUUUAGUGAAAAAGCUAAAAUUUAUCAGAAAGACGAGAAGACCCUAUAGAGUUUUAUAUUGAAUAAAUUUUUUUCUUAAUAGAUUUUUUUAGAAUAAAUUUUAGAAAAUAUUUUGUUGGGGCGACAUUAAGAUAAAAAAAACUCUUUAUUUUAAAAAUUUUUAUAAAAAGAUAAUUUGAUCCUCUAUAAGAGAUCAAAAGAAAAAAUUACCUUAGGGAUAACAGCGUAAUCUUUUUUGAGAGUUCUAAUCGACAAAAAGGUUUGCGACCUCGAUGUUGGACUAAAAUUUAGGCAGGGUGCAGCAGCUCUGCUUUUAGGUCUGUUCGACCUAUAAUAUUUUACACGAUCUGAGUUCAGACCGGCGUAAG